This 229-nucleotide ribosomal RNA is filed under the name uncultured bacterium. RNAcentral's name for it is "partial 16S ribosomal RNA". It matches the Rfam family "Bacterial small subunit ribosomal RNA", at positions 118 to 348 of the family's 1533-position model. The record is from RNAcentral.
UAGGUAAUCUGCCUUGGAGUGGGGGAUAACCAGUCGAAAGAUUGGCUAAUAUCCCAUAAGACCACAAGAUCUGCGGAUCAAGGGGUUAAAGGUUUUUCGCUCUAAGAUGAGCCUGCGUGAGAUUAGCUAGUUGGUGAGGUAACGGCUCACCAAGGCGACGAUCUCUAGAUGGUCUGAGAGGAUGAUCAUCCACACCGGAACUGAGACACGGUCCAGACUCUACGGGAGG